ACACGACUACAUUAGAUACCCCCGUAGUCCUAGCCGUAAACGAUACUCGCUAGGUGUCGGCCACGGUGCGACCGUUGUCGGUGCCGUAGGGAAGCCGUGAAGCGAGCCACCUGGGAAGUACGGCCGCAAGGCUGAAACUUAAAGGGAAUUGGCGGGGGAGCACCACAACGGGUGGAGCUUGCGGUUUAAUUGGAUUCAACGCCGGAAAUCUUACCGGGACCGACAGCAACAUGAAGGCCAGGCUGAAGACUUUGCCGGAUUAGCUG
RNAcentral lists this ribosomal RNA (266 nucleotides) under uncultured archaeon. RNAcentral's name for it is "partial 16S ribosomal RNA". It matches the Rfam family "Archaeal small subunit ribosomal RNA", at positions 717 to 982 of the family's 1478-position model. The record is from RNAcentral.